Molecule: ribosomal RNA, 215 nt
Filed under: Glomeromycotina sp.
Lineage: Eukaryota; Fungi; Glomeromycota
Description: partial small subunit ribosomal RNA
Source: RNAcentral
GGGUCAGUAGGUUGGUCGUGCCACCGGUACGUACUGGUCUCACUGAUUCCUCCUUCCUGAAGAACCGUAAUGCCAUUAAUUUGGUGUUGCGGGGAAACAGGACUGUUACUUUGAAAAAAUUAGAGUGUUUAAGCGAGCUAACGCUUGAAUACAUUAGCAUGGAAUAAUGAAAUAGGACGAUCGAUCCUAUUUUGUUGGUUUCUAGGAUUGACGUA